Molecule: ribosomal RNA, 913 nt
Filed under: Cordyceps sp. CP4-S11
Lineage: Eukaryota; Fungi; Ascomycota; Sordariomycetes; Hypocreales; Cordycipitaceae
Description: SSU rRNA
Rfam family: Eukaryotic small subunit ribosomal RNA
Source: RNAcentral
AUUAAGCCAUGCAUGUCUAAGUAUAAGCAAUUAUACAGCGAAACUGCGAAUGGCUCAUUAUAUAAGUUAUCGUUUAUUUGAUAGUACCUUACUACUUGGAUAACCGUGGUAAUUCUAGAGCUAAUACAUGCUAAAAAUCCCGACUUCGGAAGGGAUGUAUUUAUUAGAUUAAAAACCAAUGCCCUCUGGGCUCUCUGGUGAUUCAUGAUAACUUCUCGAAUCGCAUGGCCUUGCGCCGGCGAUGGUUCAUUCAAAUUUCUUCCCUAUCAACUUUCGAUGUUUGGGUAUUGGCCAAACAUGGUCGCAACGGGUAACGGAGGGUUAGGGCUCGACCCCGGAGAAGGAGCCUGAGAAACGGCUACUACAUCCAAGGAAGGCAGCAGGCGCGCAAAUUACCCAAUCCCGACACGGGGAGGUAGUGACAAUAAAUACUGAUACAGGGCUCUUUCGGGUCUUGUAAUUGGAAUGAGUACAAUUUAAAUCCCUUAACGAGGAACAAUUGGAGGGCAAGUCUGGUGCCAGCAGCCGCGGUAAUUCCAGCUCCAAUAGCGUAUAUUAAAGUUGUUGUGGUUAAAAAGCUCGUAGUUGAACCUUGGGCCUGGCUGGCCGGUCCGCCUCACCGCGUGUACUGGUCCGGCCGGGCCUUUCCCUCUGUGGAACCUCAUGCCCUUCACUGGGCGUGACGGGGAAACAGGACUUUUACUGUGAAAAAAUUAGAGUGCUCCAGGCAGGCCUAUGCUCGAAUACAUUAGCAUGGAAUAAUGAAAUAGGACGUGCGGUUCUAUUUUGUUGGUUUCUAGGACCGCCGUAAUGAUUAAUAGGGACAGUCGGGGGGCAUCAGUAUUCAAUUGUCAGAGGUGAAAUUCUUGGAUUUAUUGAAGACUAACUACUGCGAAAGCAUUUGCCAAGGAUG